This 143-nucleotide ribosomal RNA is filed under the name uncultured bacterium. Its description in RNAcentral is "partial 16S rRNA". It matches the Rfam family "Bacterial small subunit ribosomal RNA", at positions 354 to 510 of the family's 1533-position model. The record is from RNAcentral.
GUGGGGAAUCUUGGACAAUGGGCGAAAUCCCGAUCCAGCAAUAUCACGUGAGUGAAGAAGGGAAAUGCCGCUUGUAAAGCUCUUUCGUCGAGUGCGCGAUCAUGACGGGACUCGAGGAAGAAGCCCCGGCUAACUCCGUGCCA